Molecule: ribosomal RNA, 404 nt
Filed under: uncultured Alphaproteobacteria bacterium
Lineage: Bacteria; Pseudomonadati; Pseudomonadota; Alphaproteobacteria
Description: bacterial SSU rRNA
Rfam family: Bacterial small subunit ribosomal RNA
Source: RNAcentral
UGGGGAAUAUUGGACAAUGGGCGAAAGCCUGAUCCAGCAAUGCCGCGUGAGUGAAGAAGGCCUUAGGGUUGUAAAGCUCUUUCAGAUGGGAAGAUAAUGACUGUACCAUCAGAAGAAGCCCCGGCUAACUCCGUGCCAGCAGCCGCGGUAAUACGGAGGGGGCUAGCGUUAUUCGGAAUUACUGGGCGUAAAGCGCGCGUAGGCGGUUAUCCAAGUUGGGGGUGAAAUCCCGGAGCUCAACUCCGGAACUGCCCUCAAAACUGGAAGACUAGAGUUCGAGAGAGGUAAGGGGAAUUCCUAGUGUAGAGGUGAAAUUCGUAGAUAUUAGGAAGAACACCAGUGGCGAAGGCGCCUUACUGGCUCGAUACUGACGCUGAGGUGCGAAAGUGUGGGGAGCAAACAGG